UAGCGCCUCGUGAAUUCAUCUCCGGGGGUAGAGCACUGUUUCGGCAAGGGGGUCAUCCCGACUUACCAACCCGAUGCAAACUGCGAAUACCGGAGAAUGUUAUCACGGGAGACACACGGCGGGUGCUAACGUCCGUCGUGAAGAGGGAAACAACCCAGACCGCCAGCUAAGGUCCCAAAGUCAUGGUUAAGUGGGAAACGAUGUGGGAAGGCCCAGACAGCCAGGAUGUUGGCUUAGAAGCAGCCAUCAUUUAAAGAAAGCGUAAUAGCUCACUGGUCGAGUCGGCCUGCGCGGAAGAUGUAACGGGGCUAAACCAUGCACCGAAGCUGCGGCAGCGACGCUUAUGCGUUGUUGGGUAGGGGAGCGUUCUGUAAGCCUGUGAAGGUGGCCUGUGAGGGUUGCUGGAGGUAUCAGAAGUGCGAAUGCUGACAUAAGUAACGAUAAAGCGGGUGAAAAGCCCGCUCGCCGGAAGACCAAGGGUUCCUGUCCAACGUUAAUCGGGGCAGGGUGAGUCGACCCCUAAGGCGAGGCCGAAAGGCGUAGUCGAUGGGAAACAGGUUAAUAUUCCUGUACUUGGUGUUACUGCGAAGGGGGGACGGAGAAGGCUAUGUUGGCCGGGCGACGGUUGUCCCGGUUUAAGCGUGUAGGCUGGUUUUCCAGGCAAAUCCGGAAAAUCAAGGCUGAGGCGUGAUGACGAGGCACUACGGUGCUGAAGCGACAAAUGCCCUGCUUCCAGGAAAAGCCUCUAAGCAUCAGGUAACAUCAAAUCGUACCCCAAACCGACACAGGUGGUCAGGUAGAGAAUACCAAGGCGCUUGAGAGAACUCGGGUGAAGGAACUAGGCAAAAUGGUGCCGUAACUUCGGGAGAAGGCACGCUGAUAUGUAGGUGAAGCGACUUGCUCGUGGAGCUGAAAUCAGUCGAAGAUACCAGCUGGCUGCAACUGUUUAUUAAAAACACAGCACUGUGCAAACACGAAAGUGGACGUAUACGGUGUGACGCCUGCCCGGUGCCGGAAGGUUAAUUGAUGGGGUUAGCGGUAACGCGAAGCUCUUGAUCGAAGCCCCGGUAAACGGCGGCCGUAACUAUAACGGUCCUAAGGUAGCGAAAUUCCUUGUCGGGUAAGUUCCGACCUGCACGAAUGGCGUAAUGAUGGCCAGGCUGUCUCCACCCGAGACUCAGUGAAAUUGAACUCGCUGUGAAGAUGCAGUGUACCCGCGGCAAGACGGAAAGACCCCGUGAACCUUUACUAUAGCUUGACACUGAACAUUGAGCCUUGAUGUGUAGGAUAGGUGGGAGGCUUUGAAGUGUGGACGCCAGUCUGCAUGGAGCCGACCUUGAAAUACCACCCUUUAAUGUUUGAUGUUCUAACGUGGGCCCCUUACCGGGGUUGCGGACAGUGUCUGGUGGGUAGUUUGACUGGGGCGGUCUCCUCCUAAAGAGUAACGGAGGAGCACGAAGGUUGGCUAAUCCUGGUCGGACAUCAGGAGGUUAGUGCAAUGGCAUAAGCCAGCUUGACUGCGAGCGUGACGGCGCGAGCAGGUGCGAAAGCAGGUCAUAGUGAUCCGGUGGUUCUGAAUGGAAGGGCCAUCGCUCAACGGAUAAAAGGUACUCCGGGGAUAACAGGCUGAUACCGCCCAAGAGUUCAUAUCGACGGCGGUGUUUGGCACCUCGAUGUCGGCUCAUCACAUCCUGGGGCUGAAGUAGGUCCCAAGG
Molecule: ribosomal RNA, 1715 nt
Filed under: human gut metagenome
Description: bacterial LSU rRNA
Rfam family: Bacterial large subunit ribosomal RNA
Source: RNAcentral